CGGAGCUGUUCCUAUUCGGCCAUCUUGGCUCCUCCUUAUUUGGCCUUUUCAAGAUAAAAUCCCUGGAGAUUAUAUAUGAAACAACCACAAGAAGACAGAAAGGUGAAAAGAAAAAGGCAGACAAGAUAGAGACCUCAGGACCAAGGAAUGGCAUUGUGCCAAGAGGAAAUAGUCUCCAAUCAAUAACUUAAACUCCCACCUCAAGAAACAAGAAAAAGAAGAGCAAAAUAAAUCCAAAGCAAGCAUAAGGAUGGAAAUAAUAAAGGAAAAAAAUCUUCCAUGUCCUUGAGCCAGUUACCAGAGAAGAGCAGAAAUCCAGGGAGGACAAGGGAUUGACCUGGGUAGUAUUGAGCUGGAAGGUAAAAGCAAUGAACAAAAAGAGGUUCAGAUUCCUUAUUUUGGAGCGACAGUGUCAACAAGAAACAUCUGCCAAACCACAAGGACCAUGUAGAAGCUGGUGUCCCAGGAGGAGAUCUUCAGCAUUUCACCCAUCUCCCCCAAUUAUUUCUCCUGGAAAGACUGAGGCAUUUAGCUUCUUGGACUUCUCUCCAUAUAAAUGGCCACUCAUGGGCCAACUAACUGUGUGGUGUUCAAGACAAACAAUAUACAUCAUGUAAUAAAGAAUCAUUCUCCCCUGAGGGAAUCUGAGACUAAUUGAAAGGUUACUGUGUAAUAGGCUCCAUUUUCUUAAUCAUAUCUUGUGUUUGUGCAAAUGUUAAAAAAAAAGCCUCCCACCAAUGUAUUUUUAUCCAAAUGCUGCUCAAUUCUAUUAUAAUAAUUUUAUUGUCCUAACAUCCCUGUGAAAUCAGUAAACCAGUGAUGGAACAAACAGCUCUGCGUUGGUUUGAAUCAGGCACUAUGUUCAGGUUCCCAAAUUAGAAGGAGCAGUGGUCAGAUUGUCUGAAGAGAUGGACACUGGCCGUGGCACUAACUGGUUAUCUAACCAUUGUCUAAUAAUGGUCCUCAUUUCCUCUUUUGUAAAUCAAGAGAUUGGAGAGACAAUUUGCAGAAGUUUUUUUCCACUUCUAAGAUUCAAUGAGUCAAAGUUUGGAGACUUAUUUCAGAGGCAACCAGCUAUGUACAAAAUAUAGCAUUACAAAAUAGAAAAUAUGUUGGCUUUGUAGCAAAAAUACUUGGGCCUGAAUCUUGGAUUUACCACUAACUAGUAGUGUUACUUUGGCCGAGUCACCCUCUCUAAUCCUCACCUUUCCUCUAUAAAAUGGAAAUAAAAAGCCCUUAUAUGCUUAUUGCGAUGAUUAAAUAAGAAAACAUACAUAAAGCAAAUGGCAUGUGACGGAUUCUCAAUAAAUGGUAGCCACACUUAACUGCUUCAUAGGCCAACUGGAGCAUUGUCUCCAGAACAUAUUUGUACAUUUCUUACCUAUAAAUAUUCUUUCUAUAUCUAAAAAUAAACAUGGAUCUUCUCCACUUUUUCAAUUAAAGAAUGGAUUAUCAAGAGUGUAAUUACUAUAUUAACAACUCGAUUUUACAUAUGAGGAAAAUGAAGUUUAUAUGACUAGUCCGAAGUCACACAGAGAGUUAAUGACAGAGCUGUCUAGGAUCCAGGUCAUCAAAUCCCAGGAUGGUAUAUUUUACACACCCAACUGAUACUCUUUCCAAUAGGCCAUGUUGCUAUUAACAGUUUGUGGUGUCAGACAAAAAUAAUAAUGAUUUUUAUACACUAUAUUAGCUAAGUCUAUUAAGAACAGAAAAACAGAAUACUGGAAAUCUGAGUAACUCAAGCUAAAACACUUUUUCUAAAUUUCAAGACAAAAUAACUAAACAAACAGAAACAUUUGAGUAAUCGAGGGAGCAGCAAGACAGAUGAAUGUCACUAUUUGUCUCCCCAUAUCUACCUUUGUCUCCCUUCAAGUUAGUCUGAUCAUCUGAAUGAAGGGUACCACUGUUUAGCCAGAAACCUACAAGAAAUCCUUAAUAGCUUUAUAUCUCCUUCUAUUUCACCUCCUCCCUUACCUAAAUGUAACCAAGUCCUUCUAAUUCUAUCUUCUAAAUUCCUCUUAAUUCUGGUCAAUUCUUUGUACCUCGCUUUAACAGGUCAUAAUCUUUUCUCACCUGGACUACUACAACAACCUGUUACUUCGUCUCCAUUUUUUGGCUGUUCUUACUACCUAAAAAUCAAUUAUGUAUAGCUAGUUGAUCUUUUUAGAUGUAAACAAGAAUAUGUACCAAAACUUGAAAUUUUAUGUAGUAAAAUUUUAUUUGUGUAACUUGUCUUGUACACCACUUUUCUUCGAGUUGCUAAUUAUCUCAUUUUUAUUUGACUAACUUGCUAUAUGUAUAUAUCUAUUUUUCCACAAAUGCUAUCAGAUGUUAUGACUACAAAUAUAUUUUUCAAAAUAAUAAAAUAUGCAAAAUUAAUUUAUUCAAAAACU
RNAcentral lists this long non-coding RNA (2393 nucleotides) under Homo sapiens (human). RNAcentral describes it as "HSALNT0286404". Lineage: Eukaryota; Metazoa; Chordata; Mammalia; Primates; Hominidae. The record is from RNAcentral.